GCGACCCCAGGACGGGCGAGGCCACCUGCUGAGUUUAAG
This 39-nucleotide ribosomal RNA is filed under the name Dichaea sp. KMN-2007. RNAcentral describes it as "partial 26S ribosomal RNA". The record is from RNAcentral. Lineage: Eukaryota; Viridiplantae; Streptophyta; Magnoliopsida; Asparagales; Orchidaceae.